GUACACUCCUACGGGAGGCAGCAGUGGGGAAUUUUGAACAAUGGGCGAAAGCCUGAUCCAGCAAUGCCGCGUGAGUGAAGAAGGCCUUCGGGUUGUAAAGCUCUUUUGUCAGGGAAGAAACGGUGAGAGCUAAUAUCUCUUGCUAAUGACGGUACCUGAAGAAUAAGCACCGGCUAACUACGUGCCAGCAGCCGCGGUAAUACGUAGGGUGCAAGCGUUAAUCGGAAUUACUAGGCGUAAAGCGUGCGCAGGCGGUUUUGUAAGUCUGAUGUGAAAUCCCCGGGCUCAACCUGGGAAUUGCAUUGGAGACUGCAAGGCUAGAAUCUGGCAGAGGGGGGUAGAAUUCCACGUGUAGCAGUGAAAUGCGUAGAUAUGUGGAGGAACACCGAUGGCGAAGGCAGCCCCCUGGGUCAAGAUUGACGCUCAUGCACGAAAGCGUGGGGAGCAAACAGGAUUAGAAACCCGAGUAGUCCCA
RNAcentral lists this ribosomal RNA (475 nucleotides) under uncultured organism. Its description in RNAcentral is "partial 16S ribosomal RNA". It matches the Rfam family "Bacterial small subunit ribosomal RNA", at positions 331 to 797 of the family's 1533-position model. The record is from RNAcentral.